GGGGAAGUGAAACAUCUCAGUACCCUUAGGAAAAGAAAUCAAUUGAGAUUCCCUCAGUAGCGGCGAGCGAACGGGGAUCAGCCCAUUAAGUUAUGUGUGUUUUAGUGGAACGCUCUGGGAAGUGCGAACGUAGAGGGUGAUAUUCCCGUACACGAAAGGGCACACAUAAUGAUGACGAGUAGGGCGAGGCACGUGAAACCUUGUCUGAAUAUGGGGGGACCAUCCUCCAAGGCUAAAUACUCCUGACUGACCGAUAGUGAACCAGUACCGUGAGGGAAAGGCGAAAAGAACCCCUGUGAGGGGAGUGAAAUAGAUCCUGAAACCGCAUGCAUACAAGCAGUGGGAGCACCUUCGUGGUGUGACUGCGUACCUUUUGUAUAAUGGGUCAGCGACUUAUAUUCAGUAGCGAGGUUAACCGUAUAGGGGAGCCGUAGAGAAAUCGAGUCUUAAUAGGGCGUUUAGUUGCUGGGUAUAGACCCGAAACCAGGCGAUCUAUCCAUGAGCAGGUUGAAGGUUGGGUAACACUAACUGGAGGACCGAACCCACUGUCGUUGAAAAGCCAGGGGAUGACUUGUGGAUAGGGGUGAAAGGCUAAUCAAGCCUGGUGAUAGCUGGUUCUCCCCGAAAGCUAUUUAGGUAGCGCCUCGGACGAAUACCAUAGGGGGUAGAGCACUGUUUCGGCUAGGGGGUCAUCCCGACUUACCAAACCGAUGCAAACUCCGAAUACCUAUGAGUACUAUCCGGGAGACAGACUGCGGGUGCUAACGUCCGUAGUCAAGAGGAAAACAAUCCAGACCGCCAGCUAAGGCCCCAAAAUCAUAGUUAAGUGGGAAACGAUGUGGGAAGGCAUAGACAGCUAGGAGGUUGGCUUAGAAGCAGCCACCCUUUAAAGAAAGCGUAAUAGCUCACUAGUCGAGUCGGCCUGCGCGGAAGAUGUAACGGGGCUAAAACUAUGUGCCGAAGCUGCGGAUGUAUACUUUGUAUACGUGGUAGGGGAGCGUUCUGUAAGCCGAUGAAGGUGUGUUGAGAAGCAUGCUGGAGGUAUCAGAAGUGCGAAUGCUGACGUGAGUAACGACAAAACGGGUGAAAAACCCGUUCGCCGAAAGACCAAGGGUUCCAGUCCAACGUUAAUCGGGGCUGGGUGAGUCGACCCCUAAGGCGAGGCCGAAAGGCGUAGUCGAUGGGAAAAUGGUUAAUAUUCCAUUACUUCUGUGUAAUGCGAUGAGAGGACGGAGAAGGCUAAAUCAGCCUGGCGUUGGUUGUCCAGGUGAAAGGAUGUAGGCAUGUAUCUUAGGCAAAUCCGGGGUACUCUAUGCUGAGAUCUGAUAGCAAGCUGUACUUGUACAGCGAAGUGGUUGAUGCCAUGCUUCCAGGAAAAGUCUCUAAGCUUCAGUUACACAGGAAUCGUACCCGAAACCGACACAGGUGGUCAGGUCGAGUAGACCAAGGCGCUUGAGAGAACUCUGCUGAAGGAACUAGGCAAAAUGGUACCGUAACUUCGGGAGAAGGUACGCUGUUGUUGGUGAUGGAACUCGCUUCCUGAGCUGACGACAGCCGCAGAAACCAGGCCGCUGCAACUGUUUAUUAAAAACAUAGCACUCUGCAAACACGAAAGUGGACGUAUAGGGUGUGAUGCCUGCCCGGUGCUGGAAGGUUAAUUGAUGGGGUUAGCGUAAGCGAAGCUCUUGAUCGAAGCCCCAGUAAACGGCGGCCGUAACUAUAACGGUCCUAAGGUAGCGAAAUUCCUUGUCGGGUAAGUUCCGACCUGCACGAAUGGCAUAAUGAUGGCGGCGCUGUCUCCAGCAGAGGCUCAGUGAAAUCGAAAUCGCUGUGAAGAUGCAGUGUACCCGCGGCUAGACGGAAAGACCCCGUGAACCUUUACUGCAGCUUGACACUGAACUUUGACCUUACUUGUGUAGGAUAGGUGGGAGGCUUUGAAGCUGGAACGCUAGUUCCAGUGGAGCCGUCCUUGAAAUACCACCCUGGUAAUGUUGAGGUUCUAACUCUGUCCCGUGAUCCGGGACGAGGACCGUGUCUGGUGGGUAGUUUGACUGGGGCGGUCUCCUCCUAAAGAGUAACGGAGGAGUACGAAGGUGCGCUCAGCGUGGUCGGAAAUCACGCGUAGAGUAUAAAGGCAAAAGCGCGCUUAACUGCGAGACCCACAAGUCGAGCAGGUACGAAAGUAGGUCUUAGUGAUCCGGUGGUUCUGUAUGGAAGGGCCAUCGCUCAACGGAUAAAAGGUACUCUGGGGAUAACAGGCUGAUACCGCCCAAGAGUUCAUAUCGACGGCGGUGUUUGGCACCUCGAUGUCGGCUCAUCUCAUCCUGGGGCUGAAGCAGGUCCCAAGGGUAUGGCUGUUCGCCAUUUAAAGAGGUACGCGAGCUGGGUUUAGAACGUCGUGAGACAGUUCGGUCCCUAUCUACCGUGGGCGCUGGAAAUUUGAGAGGAUCUGCUCCUAGUACGAGAGGACCAGAGUGGACGAACCUCUGGUGUACCGGUUGUGACGCCAGUCGCAUCGCCGGGUAGCUAUGUUCGGAAGGGAUAACCGCUGAAAGCAUCUAAGCGGGAAGCCUACCUCAAGAUAAGAUUUCCCUAGGACUUUAUGUCCUCUAAAGAGCCGUUCGAGACUAGGACGUUGAUAGGUUGGAUGUGGAAGCAUAGUGAUAUGUGAAGCUGACCAAUACUAAUUGCUCGUGAGGCUUGACUAU
This 2708-nucleotide ribosomal RNA is filed under the name Acinetobacter baumannii. RNAcentral's name for it is "bacterial LSU rRNA". It matches the Rfam family "Bacterial large subunit ribosomal RNA". Lineage: Bacteria; Pseudomonadati; Pseudomonadota; Gammaproteobacteria; Moraxellales; Moraxellaceae. The record is from RNAcentral. RNAcentral also lists the same sequence under 2 other names.